CCUACGGGUGGCAGCAGUGGGGAAUAUUGGACAAUGGGGGAAACCCUGAUCCAGCGACGCCGCGUGAGUGAGGAAGUAUUUCGGUAUGUUAAGCUCUAUCAGUAGGGAAGAAAGAAAUGACGGUACCUGACCAAGAAGCCCCGGCUAACUACGUGCCAGCAGCCGCGGUAAUACGUAGGGGGCAAGCGUUAUCCGGAGUUACUGGGUGUAAAGUGAGCGUAGGCGGUAAUGCAAGUCUGGCGGGAAAUGCAGGGGCUUAAACCCUGAACUGCUUUGGAAACUGUAGGACUUGAGUGCAGGAGAGGUAAGUGGAAUUCGUAGGGUAGCGGUGAAAUGCGUAGAUAUUAGGAGGAACACCAGUGGCGAAGGCGGCUUACUGGACUGUAACUGACGUUGAGGCACGAAAGCGUGGGGAGCAAACAGGAUUAGAUACCCUGGUAGUC
Molecule: ribosomal RNA, 443 nt
Filed under: uncultured bacterium
Lineage: Bacteria
Description: partial 16S ribosomal RNA
Rfam family: Bacterial small subunit ribosomal RNA
Source: RNAcentral